This 120-nucleotide ribosomal RNA is filed under the name Helianthus annuus (common sunflower). Lineage: Eukaryota; Viridiplantae; Streptophyta; Magnoliopsida; Asterales; Asteraceae. The record is from RNAcentral.
GGUUGCGAUCAUACCAGUACUAAUGCACCGGAUCCCAUCAGAACUCCGCAGUUAAGCGUGCUUGGGCGAGAGUAAUACUAGGAUGGGUGACCCCCUGGGAAGUCCUCGUGUUGCAACCCC